RNAcentral lists this ribosomal RNA (1431 nucleotides) under metagenome. Its description in RNAcentral is "bacterial SSU rRNA". It matches the Rfam family "Bacterial small subunit ribosomal RNA". The record is from RNAcentral.
UCAGGAUGAACGCUGGCGGUAUGCUUAACACAUGCAAGUCGAACGGAAUCUUUAGGGAUUUAGUGGCGGACGGGUGAGUAACGCGUAAGAAUCUACCUUCAGGUUGGGGACAACCACUGGAAACGGUGGCUAAUACCGAAUGUGCCGAGAGGUGAAAGGCUUGCUGCCUGAAGAAGAGCUUGCGUCUGAUUAGCUAGUAGGUGUGGUAAAGGCGCACCUAGGCGACGAUCAGUAGCUGGUCUGAGAGGAUGAUCAGCCACACUGGGACUGAGACACGGCCCAGACUCCUACGGGAGGCAGCAGUGGGGAAUUUUCCGCAAUGGGCGAAAGCCUGACGGAGCAAUACCGCGUGAGGGAAGAAGGCUCUUGGGUUGUAAACCUCUUUUCUCAGGGAAGAAAAGAAUGACGGUACCUGAGGAAUAAGCAUCGGCUAACUCCGUGCCAGCAGCCGCGGUAAUACGGAGGAUGCAAGCGUUAUCCGGAAUGAUUGGGCGUAAAGGGUCCGCAGGUGGCAUUGUAUGUCUGCUGUUAAAGAGUCUGGCUCAACCAGAUCAAAGCAGUGGAAACUACAAAGCUAGAGUAUGGUCGGGGCAGAGGGAAUUCCUGGUGUAGCGGUGAAAUGCGUAGAUAUCAGGAAGAACACCGGUGGCGAAGGCGCUCUGCUAGGCCAAAACUGACACUGAGGGACGAAAGCUAGGGGAGCGAAUGGGAUUAGAUACCCCAGUAGUCCUAGCCGUAAACGAUGGAUACUAGGCGUAGCUCGUAUCGACCCGAGCUGUGCCGUAGCUAACGCGUUAAGUAUCCCGCCUGGGGAGUACGCAGGCAACUGUGAAACUCAAAGGAAUUGACGGGGGCCCGCGCAAGCGGUGGAGUAUGUGGUUUAAUUCGAUGCAACGCGAAGAACCUUACCAAGACUUGACAUGUCACGAAUUCCGUUGAAAGAUGGAAGUGCCUUAGGGAGCGUGAACACAGGUGGUGCAUGGCUGUCGUCAGCUCGUGUCGUGAGAUGUUGGGUUAAGUCCCGCAACGAGCGCAACCCUCGUUUUUAGUUGCCAGCAUUAAGUUGGGCACUCUAGAGAGACUGCCGGUGACAAACCGGAGGAAGGUGGGGAUGACGUCAAGUCAGCAUGCCCCUUACGUCUUGGGCUACACACGUACUACAAUGCUCCGGACAAAGGGCAGCUACACAGCGAUGUGAUGCGAAUCUCAUAAACCGGAGCUCAGUUCAGAUCGAAGGCUGCAACUCGCCUUCGUGAAGGAGGAAUCGCUAGUAAUUGCAGGUCAGCAUACUGCAGUGAAUUCGUUCCCGGGCCUUGUACACACCGCCCGUCACACCAUGGAAGUUGGUCACGCCCGAAGUCGUUACCCCAACCUUUUGGAGGGGGAUGCCUAAGGUAGGACUGAUGACUGGGGUGAAGUCGUAACAAGGUA